RNAcentral lists this ribosomal RNA (467 nucleotides) under uncultured bacterium. RNAcentral describes it as "partial 16S ribosomal RNA". It matches the Rfam family "Bacterial small subunit ribosomal RNA", at positions 29 to 507 of the family's 1533-position model. The record is from RNAcentral.
ACGAACGCUGGCGGCGUGCUUCACACAUGCAAGUCGCACGGAAAGGCCCUGCUUUUGUGGGGUGCUCGAGUGGCGAACGGGUGAGUAACACGUGAGUAACCUGCCCUUGACUUUGGGAUAACUUCAGGAAACUGGGGCUAAUACCGGAUAGGAGCUCCUGCUGCAUGGUGGGGGUUGGAAAGUUUCGGCGGUUGGGGAUGGACUCGCGGCUUAUCAGCUUGUUGGUGGGGUAGUGGCUUACCAAGGCUUUGACGGGUAGCCGGCCUGAGAGGGUGACCGGCCACAUUGGGACUGAGAUACGGCCCAGACUCCUACGGGAGGCAGCAGUGGGGAAUAUUGCACAAUGGGCGGAAGCCUGAUGCAGCAACGCCGCGUGCGGGAUGACGGCCUUCGGGUUGUAACCCGCUUUCGCCUGUGACGAAGCGUGAGUGACGGUAAUGGGUAAAGAAGCACCGGCUAACUACGUG